UAAGUAAGCUUUGAUCCAGAGAUUUCCGAAUGGGGAAACCCAGCAUGAGUUAUGUCAUGUUAUCGAUAUGUGAAUACAUAGCAUAUCAGAAGGCACACCCGGAGAACUGAAACAUCUUAGUACCCGGAGGAAGAGAAAGAAAAUUCGAUUCCCUUAGUAGCGGCGAGCGAAACGGGAAGAGCCCAAACCAACAAGCUUGCUUGUUGGGGUUGUAGGACACUCUAUACGGAGUUACAAAGGACGACAUUAGACGAAUCAUCUGGAAAGAUGAAUCAAAGAAGGUAAUAAUCCUGUAGUCGAAAAUGUUGUCUCUCUUGAGUGGAUCCUGAGUACGACGGAGCACGUGAAAUUCCGUCGGAAUCUGGGAGGACCAUCUCCUAAGGCUAAAUACUCUCUAGUGACCGAUAGUGAACCAGUACCGUGAGGGAAAGGUGAAAAGCACCCCGGAAGGGGAGUGAAAUAGAACCUGAAACCGUGUGCUUACAAGUAGUCAGAGCCCGUUAAUGGGUGAUGGCGUGCCUUUUGUAGAAUGAACCGGCGAGUUACGAUUUGAUGCAAGGUUAAGCAGUAAAUGUGGAGCCGUAGCGAAAGCGAGUCUGAAUAGGGCGUUUAGUAUUUGGUCGUAGACCCGAAACCAGGUGAUCUACCCUUGGUCAGGUUGAAGUUCAGGUAACACUGAAUGGAGGACCGAACCGACUUACGUUGAAAAGUGAGCGGAUGAACUGAGGGUAGCGGAGAAAUUCCAAUCGAACCUGGAGAUAGCUGGUUCUCUCCGAAAUAGCUUUAGGGCUAGCCUCAAGUGAUGAUUAUUGGAGGUAGAGCACUGUUUGGACGAGGGGCCCCUCUCGGGUUACCGAAUUCAGACAAACUCCGAAUGCCAAUUAAUUUAACUUGGGAGU
RNAcentral lists this ribosomal RNA (899 nucleotides) under Staphylococcus aureus. RNAcentral describes it as "partial 23S ribosomal RNA". It matches the Rfam family "Bacterial large subunit ribosomal RNA", at positions 89 to 984 of the family's 2925-position model. Lineage: Bacteria; Bacillati; Bacillota; Bacilli; Caryophanales; Staphylococcaceae. The record is from RNAcentral.